AAUAAGGGAAAAUUCGAAAAUUUUCAUUGUUUAGACUAUAUAUCUGAAUGGUCUAUUAAUUAGACGAAUUAACUUGAUUGGUCAAAACCAACAUCAGUCCUCUAAACAUUGUGAAAAGAAAAGUCUGUUCACUAGAGCUGCUUGCCGGCCGGCUGCUUUUGUUAGGAUGAAGGAGCUGCAACAAAAGAAAGCAGGUUAAGUCAGAUUUAAUUAUGAUGUUUUUGGGAAAAGCAAGCAGCUCAAUGCUGGUUGAAUUCCAUGUUUUUUUCAACUAUAAAAUAGAACCCAUGUUUACUAGGUUCAUGAAAAGAUACUCUUUCCAAAUCCAAACCAGGAAAUUUCCUUCUUUCACAUUCAUGCUUUAAUGAAAAACAUAAACCCCUUUUCUUUUUCUUGGGUGCAAUUGAACGCCUGUACUUUAUAAAGACGACAAUUCACAAAGCUAUGUACCAGACUGCCUUAAGCUAUGGAUGAGAAAAUGAUUUGUCUAGAAUAGUAUUUUAAAAAAAAUUCUGUUUUUUUUUUCUCAUGUAAACAUAUUUCUUUUUCAUCCAAACAUAUAUCUUUCAAAAAACUUUUUUUUUUAUCAAUGAUUGACUGGGUAUUUAUUGAAUUAAAAUUAAAGAAAACAGAGGGUUCAAGCUUACUAAGACAAACCCAAAAUUCAAAUCGGCCUGCCUCAAUUCUUAAGUGGAGACUAGCAAAACAUUAAAAAAAUAGCAAAAGAAAAACGGAAAUAAAAUGAAACGGCAAAAAUAAAUGUGCCUUGAAAAAAGGAAACCUAAUCCACCCUUAGUCAAUCUUCCAACGGAUGGAAACCAUUAAUCCCUCUUGACAUUUCUUAUCACCUGUCCCAUCCAUUCCAUCCGUUUGACGAUAGCUUUGCCCGAUAUUUUCUUUCUUUGCUAUCUGCUUUUAGAAACAAAUCCUCUCCCAAUCUUCUUAGUCCGGAUUUCUUGCCCAUUGCUCUGCUGCGCUCAUAUCGUGAUGAAUCGGCUCCUUAUUCUCCAGCAAUAUUGCGAUGAAUAGUCGAUUUCGAAGCCAAAUACUCAUUCAUCGAACCCCUGACCACCAGCCCCGAUGCUGAUCUGAACUCUCUGUUGUUGAACGUAGCAUCAAACUGGAUCUUCACAAUCGGUAAGUCUUCCACAUUCCUUUGGUUGUGCAUCGUAUGUGAUAAAGUCAUCUUUACUCUAAUCCCUUUGUAUUCUGCCAUGUGGUUUUGAAUUUUCCGUGCAAGGUCUCUGCCCGUUGUGUGUACCUGUUCAUGCAAAAACUGAUUCCUUGAAUGCCAAAGUACUCAUAAGCCAUAGCAAAAAUAUCUGCAUUGUUCGUUUGACAAAUUUAUUCCACUAUAAAUUUUAUAAUUUUUCAGUUUGAAUAUUCUCUUUCUUCAUGUUUUUUUCGGGAUUUAUAAAAUAUUUGACAAAUUUAAA
Gossypium arboreum is the source of this 1436-nucleotide long non-coding RNA. RefSeq lists it as uncharacterized. The record is from RefSeq and is a predicted model, not a curated record. NCBI's taxonomy places the organism in Eukaryota, Viridiplantae, Streptophyta, Magnoliopsida, Malvales, Malvaceae. The transcript is spliced from 3 exons.